Austrofundulus limnaeus is the source of this 759-nucleotide long non-coding RNA. RefSeq lists it as uncharacterized. The transcript is spliced from 2 exons. NCBI's taxonomy places the organism in Eukaryota, Metazoa, Chordata, Actinopteri, Cyprinodontiformes, Rivulidae. The record is from RefSeq and is a predicted model, not a curated record.
UACAUCAAAAUAAACUUAGAAUUCGAAAUAUUGAGUAUAUUUACUAUAUAUUGCAAUAAUUUACUCUGUAUUUUGCCAGACUGGUAAUCCUAGGGUCGUAAUGAUGGGGCCCUUGAAUAUUGUUGCCCAGGGUACAGGGAAGUGUUAAUCCGACCCUGCUAACAGGACGAUUUUCUGCUGCAAAGGGCUUAAUGCUGUUCAGAAUAGAUGUGGAGAGCUGCCAGAGCAUCCACGCUGCAUGACCUUUCAUCCAGGCCUUCAGCCAGUCUGCUUGAACUCAUACUACCUGCAGAAUGAUCUGAACAUUUAUCAGGCAGGCCAUUGGAGGCAAAGGAACAAGCUGUGUAAAUUAGACAAAAAUAGUUUUUAUUGCUUUCUGAUGUGUUGAUCAAAGUACGUCUUUAAAAAAGUGAUUCAAAGUUCAAAAUGAUGAGGCAGGUCUUUUUCAUGACUCCAACUUGUUUUCUGGGGUUUGGAUAUGUAAGGGAGUUGUGAAAGAAAGGACAGUUUUUUUUAAUGGUCCAGUGUGUUAUAAUUGUUUGAUUUUAUUUGUAUAAUAUCAAAAAAGGUAGAUACUCAUAAAUAAAUGUUUAAAUAUGUUUUCAGUUUUUUUCUGUUUCUGUAGUAAUUUUGUUGUUAAAAUUAGCAUCAUUGCAUUUUCUGUAAUCACAAAAACUACUGAAUUUUACAAACUGAUAAAAUGAAAACAAUCAAUGUAUCCAAUGUUGCACUUAAUAAAUUAUUUCCUGUGUAAUGACA